UGUCUCAGCCUCCCGAGUAACUGGAAUUACAGAGACAAAGUCUCACUCUAUCGCCAAGGAGUAUGAUGGGGCCGUCACACCGAAAGCCGAAAUUUUGCCGAAAGCCUGAGGGGGCAAAAGGAGAACUGAAAUCCACUCAGCAGAUAUUUCUACACUGGCCCUUCUGGCUCCUUCUCUUCUUAGCCUUCCACCUGUUGUUCUAGGUCCAGGCCCUGUCAUCAGAAUUCCUUAUUAUCUUCCCUGAGUUUAGGAAUCCUUUCCUAGUCCACGCUCCAGCCAGAGUGAGUAAAUCCAAGGGACACCUCCAUAAUUUCCUCAGAGAUGUCUCCUCCCUGCUCUCAGGGAGCACAGUUAUGAAGUGUCUCAUCAGCACCUGCGUGGGGCAUCAGCACAGGAAGUGCCUCCUAGACACGUGCUGAUGGAGAAAUGCAAGGCUGUUUCAGUCCCCUGGGCCCAGGGUUUCUUCCUUCCAGAUAAGGGCUUUCAUUUUUAUCUUGGAAAACAGAACACCCUGUAAAGUGUGUCCCUAAAUAAAAAAGCAAUCUUAGCCCAAAGGGUAACUCUAGCGUCACCCAAGAAGAGGUCUGAACUGGAAAACCCCUUUUAAAUAAGCAUCCCUCCAUUCCCUGCAGAAUGCAUAGGAACAGCUGUAAUAACUGAGCAAUACAUUCGUGGCGUAUAAUUACAAAA
Non-coding RNA from Saimiri boliviensis boliviensis (Bolivian squirrel monkey), 690 nucleotides. The record is from RefSeq and is a predicted model, not a curated record. NCBI's taxonomy places the organism in Eukaryota, Metazoa, Chordata, Mammalia, Primates, Cebidae.